Molecule: long non-coding RNA, 224 nt
Organism: Centruroides sculpturatus (bark scorpion)
Lineage: Eukaryota; Metazoa; Arthropoda; Arachnida; Scorpiones; Buthidae
Exons: 2
Source: RefSeq, a predicted model, not a curated record
UAUUUAUCUUUGAAAUUGAAAAAAAAGAAAGGAAAUUGUUCGGUUCAUUCUCAGAAUGCAAGAAAAAAAGGCAUCAGUGAUAAUAGAGUUAGGGAAAAAAUCCAAGUUAAAAUUAUCUAGAAAGGAAACUCUAUUUAAACUAUUUCCUCUUAUUGAUUUUCUACAAUCGCCUCCCCUCCUCUGUGCCGGAGAAUGAAAAAAAAAAAAGGAAAGAGAAAAAAAAA